This 427-nucleotide ribosomal RNA is filed under the name uncultured bacterium. RNAcentral describes it as "bacterial SSU rRNA". It matches the Rfam family "Bacterial small subunit ribosomal RNA", at positions 355 to 775 of the family's 1533-position model. The record is from RNAcentral.
UCGAGAAUUUUUCUCAAUGGGGGCAACCCUGAAGGAGCGACGCCGCGUGGAGGAUGAAGGCUUUCGGGUUGUAAACUCCUGUCAUUUGAGAACAAGUGUAGGCAACUAACUACUGCCUACUUGAUAGUAUCAGAAGAGGAAGGGACGGCUAACUCUGUGCCAGCAGCCGCGGUAAUACAGAGGUCCCAAGCGUUGUUCGGAUUCAUUGGGCGUAAAGGGUGCGUAGGUGGCGUGGUAAGUCGGGUGUGAAAUCCCGGGGCUCAACCCCGGGACUGCAUUCGAUACUGCCGUGCUUGAGGACUGGAGAGGAGACUGGAAUUUACGGUGUAGCAGUGAAAUGCGUAGAGAUCGUAAGGAAGACCAGUGGCGAAGGCGGGUCUCUGGACAGUUCCUGACACUGAGGCACGAAGGCCAGGGGAGCAAACGG